GUUGGACCUGAUUCAUGAUUCAGAUAAAUAGUUUGGAAUUUAUACAAUAUCAGUUUGCUCUGCAAGUUUUUCAGGCAGCAUAUUACUGAAUUUAGCUGUUCUAGAAGGACAGCUUUUCAUGACACUUUAGUACCUCAGAUUUAAGUACUAAGUAUUGCCUCUUUUACCAGAGUCUCCAAAUACUGACACUACUUUGUUUCAAUUUUAAAUGGAGAUUGACAUACUGUUUAGAAGAUGAUCUAAGAAAUGUAGGACCAGUAGAUGCUCAAGUAUAUCUUGAAGAAAUGUCUUGGAAUGAAGGUGAUCACUCUUUUUAUCUGAGUUGCAGAUGUGGUGGAAAAUACAGUGUUUCCAAGGAUGAAGCGGAAGAAGUUAGCCUGAUUUCUUGUGAUACAUGUUCACUAAUUAUAGAACUCCUUCAUUAUAACUAAAA
Molecule: small RNA, 433 nt
Filed under: Pan troglodytes (chimpanzee)
Lineage: Eukaryota; Metazoa; Chordata; Mammalia; Primates; Hominidae
Description: processed transcript
Source: RNAcentral